UGGGGAAUAUUGCACAAUGGGCGCAAGCCUGAUGCAGCCAUGCCGCGUGUAUGAAGAAGGCCUUCGGGUUGUAAAGUACUUUCAGCGGGGAGGAAGGCGAUGUGGUUAAUAACCGCGUCGAUUGACGUUACCCGCAGAAGAAGCACCGGCUAACUCCGUGCCAGCAGCCGCGGUAAUACGGAGGGUGCAAGCGUUAAUCGGAAUUACUGGGCGUAAAGCGCACGCAGGCGGUGUGUCAAGUCGGAUGUGAAAUCCCCGGGCUCAACCUGGGAACUGCAUCCGAAACUGGCAGGCUUGAGUCUCGUAGAGGGGGGUAGAAUUCCAGGUGUAGCGGUGAAAUGCGUAGAGAUCUGGAGGAAUACCGGUGGCGAAGGCGGCCCCCUGGACGAAGACUGACGCUCAGGUGCGAAAGCGUGGGGAGCAAACA
Molecule: ribosomal RNA, 427 nt
Filed under: uncultured bacterium
Lineage: Bacteria
Description: partial 16S ribosomal RNA
Rfam family: Bacterial small subunit ribosomal RNA
Source: RNAcentral